UCCCAAAUUGUAUGUCGCUUUGGAAAAAAAAUUUGUCCCAAAUUAUAAGUCGCUUUACAAUACCAAUGAAAUAUUAAUGUUACUUUUCCUAUUAUAUCUUUAACUAUUAAUUACUCCCUCUUCUUUCAAUUAUUUCAUUUAUCUUUUCCAUACCAUUUAUUAAGGAUAAUUUUGUAAAACAACUCAUAAUUUCACUUCCCCACACAAUAUUAAUUACAUUUCUUAAUACGUGUGAAAUGGCCAAAACGUCAUACAAUUUGGAACGGAGGGAGU
This 273-nucleotide long non-coding RNA is filed under the name Medicago truncatula (barrel medic). Its description in RNAcentral is "long non-coding RNA (MTRU_LNC002910)". The record is from RNAcentral. Lineage: Eukaryota; Viridiplantae; Streptophyta; Magnoliopsida; Fabales; Fabaceae.